This is a small nucleolar RNA of Jaculus jaculus (lesser Egyptian jerboa), 131 nucleotides long. NCBI's taxonomy places the organism in Eukaryota, Metazoa, Chordata, Mammalia, Rodentia, Dipodidae. The record is from Ensembl.
AAGCCAGCCAAUUAAUCUGCUCAUCUGAACGUGUUUCUGAAGAAAUUUAGAAACAGCUGGCAAUAGUGAUACCAUCUUGUGAGCCUUAAGGACAAAUAAGGUCAUUAUACUCCCUCAAAAUGGCUACAAUA